RNAcentral lists this transfer RNA (76 nucleotides) under Candidatus Peribacter riflensis. Its description in RNAcentral is "tRNA-Ala". It matches the Rfam family "tRNA". From Rfam's summary of the family: Transfer RNA (tRNA) molecules are approximately 80 nucleotides in length. The record is from RNAcentral. Lineage: Bacteria; Candidatus Peregrinibacteriota; Candidatus Peribacteria; Candidatus Peribacterales.
GGGGCAUUAGCUCAGUUGGUAGAGCACCUGCUUUGCAAGCAGGGGGUCAGGAGUUCGAAUCUCCUCAGCUCCACCA